This 254-nucleotide ribosomal RNA is filed under the name uncultured bacterium. Its description in RNAcentral is "partial 16S ribosomal RNA". It matches the Rfam family "Bacterial small subunit ribosomal RNA", at positions 524 to 776 of the family's 1533-position model. The record is from RNAcentral.
GACGUAGGGAGCGAGCGUUGUCCGGAUUCAUUGGGCGUAAAGAGCGCGCAGGCGGUUUGGUAAGUCGGAUGUGAAAACCCGGGGCUCAACCCCGGGCGUGCAUCUCGAUACUGCCCGACUAGAGGUAGGUAGGGGAGAUCGGAAUUCCUGGUGUAGCGGUGAAAUGCGCAGAUAUCAUGAGGAAUACCAGAGGCGAAGGCGGCUACCUGGACAAUUGCUGACGCUCAGGCACGAAAGCGUGGGGAGCAAAAGGG